Molecule: unclassified non-coding RNA, 175 nt
Filed under: soil metagenome
Description: partial internal transcribed spacer 1
Source: RNAcentral
CAUGAGUUGCAAAACUCCCAACCAUUGUGAACCUACCUAUCGUUGCUUCGGCGGGUGGAGGGCAACCUCAGCGGCCGCGCGGCCCACCCCUCUCGGGGGGCAGGCAAGCCCGUCCGAGGACGUCCAAACCUAUAGCAUACAUUGGCCUCUCUGAGUAAGCUUAUAAAAUAAGUCA